Molecule: unclassified non-coding RNA, 772 nt
Filed under: uncultured Saprolegnia
Lineage: Eukaryota; Oomycota; Saprolegniomycetes; Saprolegniales
Description: partial contains 5.8S rRNA, ITS2, and 28S rRNA
Rfam family: Eukaryotic large subunit ribosomal RNA (bases 421-772)
Source: RNAcentral
AUUGCGGAAUUCAGUGAGUCAUCAAAAUUUUGAACGCAUAUUGCACUUCCGGGUUAGUCCUGGGAGUAUGUUUGUAUCAGUGUCCGUGAACACAAACUUGUUUCAUUUCUUGAUGGAAUGAAGCAGACUGUGAAGGUCUUGUGAAUACAAGUCCUUCUAAACGAUGGUACCUAUGCGUCCUCGUGAGAUGUAUUAUUUAAAGGUAUGCCUGCGCUCCUUUCGAGAGUCUUGUGUGGCGACACACAGGUUCAAAGAGAGAGCAAAUCGCGGUAGUUUUGCUUGUACUUCGGUAUGAGUGGGCAUAUAUUGCUUUUUGUGAUUUCAGCGAGUCUGUUGUUUAAGCACAGGGCGCGUAAGGGGAGUAGGUAUGCUGGUGCAUUUCUUGGCGUGUGGAGGCAAAUUGGGAAUUCAAUCCAAUUUGGACCUGAUAUCAAACAAGACUACCCGCUGAACUUAAGCAUAUCAUUAAGCGGAGGAAAAGAAACUAACAAGGAUUCCCCCAGUAACGGCGAGUGAAGCGGGAAGAGCUCAAGCUUAAAAUCUCCAUACUUGUAUGGCGAAUUGUAGUCUAUUGAGGCUGUUGUCAGCAUCGCGAUUGGGGACAAGUCCCUUGGAAAAGGGCAGCAUAGAGGGUGAUACUCCCGUCUCUGCUCCAAUCUGCGGUGUGUACGAUACGCUUUCUUUGAGUCGAGUUGUUUGGGAAUACAGCUCAAAGUAGGUGGUAAAUUCCAUCUAAAGCUAAAUAUUGGUGCGAGACCGAUAGCGAACAAGU